Dama dama (fallow deer) is the source of this 652-nucleotide long non-coding RNA. RefSeq lists it as uncharacterized. The transcript is spliced from 3 exons. NCBI's taxonomy places the organism in Eukaryota, Metazoa, Chordata, Mammalia, Artiodactyla, Cervidae. The record is from RefSeq and is a predicted model, not a curated record.
GUCCUCGCUGGGAGACUGCACGGGGUCCCUUCCUCCUCCUCCCAACCCCUAGGUCUGUUUACAUUUACUGCCCUCGAAUGGCAUUCUUUCCAGUGGAUUAUCUUACUUGUUUCGAUGAUAUUAACAGCUACCAUUACCUGAAAGCCAGAAGUGUGCCUGCCAGGUGUUUUGCUGCUGUGUCUUUACAAACAUCAGCCUUCAGAAUGAAAUCAUGAGGUCGGUACCCAAGAGGAAAUCACUGCUUGGAAAUCACCGCUAUGCCUUUGUCGGGGGAGGGCAGAGUGCGGAGCAAGGCACAGACCACAAGGCAGGGCAGCCCUGAUCCCUGCAGCCCCACGACUGACAGGACCCUGCGACCCAAGGUCCCAGCACAUUCAGUAGCUCUGGGAGACCUCUGUUCUGGAAAGACCAAGGAAGCCUUGGUGCACACAGUGGUGCUGGCUGAUUUGAAGAAUGUAUAAGGUGCCACUUAUGCCCUUUCCCCAAUACUUUGGCCACCUGAUGCGAAGAACUGACUCAUUGGAAAAGACCCUGAUGCUGGGAGAGAUUGAAGGCUGGAGGAGAAGGGGACGACAGAGGAUGAGAUGGUUGGAUGGCAUCACUGACUUGAUGGACAUGAGUUUGAGCAAGCUCUGGGAAUUGGUGAUGGACA